UCACAGCAUAUGGUCCUGAUUAUGUGCUGGAAAUCACGCCAAGCUGCCGGCCAGACCGCAAUGAACCCCACCGAGUCCAGCAAAUCCUCAACUACAUCAAAGGGAAUCUGAAGCAUGUGGUCUAGUUGACAAAAAGAGAUCAGGUUUCCAGAGCCGAAGAGCAGCGCCUAUAAUGAAGACAGCGUGUUUAUGCAAGCAGUGUGUGGAAUUUGUGACUGCAGGGGAAAUUUGGAAGAAAUUACUUCCUGAAAAUUUCCAAGAGGCACCAAGUGGCAGCUGGCCUCCUGGGGUGAGGCAGGCAGACACCCCAGAGGCUCAACUAGGCCUAGAAGAAGAGUGAGAUUUCCAACAUUUAAAAUGUUUAUUU
Myotis davidii is the source of this 367-nucleotide long non-coding RNA. RefSeq lists it as uncharacterized. The record is from RefSeq and is a predicted model, not a curated record. NCBI's taxonomy places the organism in Eukaryota, Metazoa, Chordata, Mammalia, Chiroptera, Vespertilionidae. The transcript is spliced from 2 exons.